GAUGAACGCUGGCGGCGUGCCUAAUACAUGCAAGUCGAGCGAACAGACGAGGAGCUUGCUCCUCUGACGUUAGCGGCGGACGGGUGAGUAACACGUGGAUAACCUACCUAUAAGACUGGGAUAACUUCGGGAAACCGGAGCUAAUACCGGAUAAUAUAUUGAACCGCAUGGUUCAAUAGUGAAAGACGGUUUUGCUGUCACUUAUAGGUGGAUCCGCGCCGCAUUAGCUAGUUGGUAAGGUAACGGCUUACCAAGGCAACGAUGCGUAGCCGACCUGAGAGGGUGAUCGGCCACACUGGAACUGAGACACGGCCCAGACUCCUACGGGAGGCAGCAGUAGGGAAUCUUCCGCAAUGGGCGAAAGCCUGACGGAGCAACGCCGCGUGAGUGAUGAAGGUCUUCGGAUCGUAAAACUCUGUUAUUAGGGAAGAACAAAUGUGUAAGUAACUAUGCACGUCUUGACGGUACCUAAUCAGAAAGCCACGGCUAACUACGUG
RNAcentral lists this ribosomal RNA (497 nucleotides) under uncultured bacterium. RNAcentral's name for it is "partial 16S ribosomal RNA". It matches the Rfam family "Bacterial small subunit ribosomal RNA", at positions 28 to 507 of the family's 1533-position model. The record is from RNAcentral.